Molecule: ribosomal RNA, 495 nt
Filed under: uncultured bacterium
Lineage: Bacteria
Description: partial 16S ribosomal RNA
Rfam family: Bacterial small subunit ribosomal RNA
Source: RNAcentral
GAUGAACGCUGGCGGCGUGCCUAAUACAUGCAAGUAGAACGCUUAAGGAGGAGCUUGCUCUUCUGUAUGAGUUGCGAACGGGUGAGUAACGCGUAGGUAACCUGCCUGGUAGCGGGGGAUAACUAUUGGAAACGAUAGCUAAUACCGCAUGACAACAGUUAUUGCAUGAUAACUGUUUAAAAGGGGCAACUGCUCCACUACCAGAUCGACUUGCGUUGUAUUAGCUAGUUGGUGAGGUAGCGGCUCACCAAGGCGACGAUACAUAGCCGACCUGACAUGGGGAUCGGCUACACUGGGACUUGGACACGGGCCAGACUCCGACGGGAGGGAGCAGUAGGGGAACUUCGGAAAUGGGCGGAAGUCAGACCGAGGAACGGCGGGUGAGUGGAGGAGGGUUUCGGAUCGGAAAGCUAUGUUGUGAGGGGAGGACGAGUAUGAAAGUGGAAAGUUCACACUGUGACGGUAUCUAACGAGAAAGGGACGGCUAACUACGUG